AGCGAACGCUGGCGGUAGGCCUAACACAUGCAAGUCGAACGACAGCACAGUAAGAGCUUGCUCUUACGGGUGGCGAGUGGCGGACGGGUGAGGAAUACAUCGGAAUCUACUUUUUCGUGGGGGAUAACGUAGGGAAACUUACGCUAAUACCGCAUACGACCUACGGGUGAAAGCAGGGGAUCUUCGGACCUUGCGCGAUUGAAUGAGCCGAGGUCGGAUUAGCUAGUUGGCGGGGUAAGGGCCCACCAAGGCGACGAUCCGUAGCUGGUCUGAGAGGAUGAUCAGCCACCCUGGAACUGAGACACGGUCCAGACUCCUACGGGAGGCAGCAGUGGGGAAUAUUGGACAAUGGGGGAAAGCCUGAUCCAGCAAUACCGCGUGGGUGAAGAAGGCCUUCGGGUUGUAAAGCCAUUUUGUUGGGAAAGAAAAGCAGCAGGUUAAUACCCCGCUGUUCUGACGGUACCCAAAGAAUAAGCACCGGCUAACUUCGUG
This 492-nucleotide ribosomal RNA is filed under the name uncultured bacterium. RNAcentral describes it as "partial 16S ribosomal RNA". It matches the Rfam family "Bacterial small subunit ribosomal RNA", at positions 29 to 507 of the family's 1533-position model. The record is from RNAcentral.